This 256-nucleotide ribosomal RNA is filed under the name uncultured bacterium. RNAcentral's name for it is "partial 16S ribosomal RNA". It matches the Rfam family "Bacterial small subunit ribosomal RNA", at positions 521 to 776 of the family's 1533-position model. The record is from RNAcentral.
UAAUACGGAGGGUGCAAGCGUUAAUCGGAAUCACUGGGCGUAAAGCGCACGUAGGCGGCUUGGUAAGUCAGGGGUGAAAUCCCACAGCCCAACUGUGGAACUGCCUUUGAUACUGCCAGGCUUGAGUACCGGAGAGGGUGGCGGAAUUCCAGGUGUAGGAGUGAAAUCCGUAGAUAUCUGGAGGAACACCGGUGGCGAAGGCGGCCACCUGGACGGUAACUGACGCUGAGGUGCGAAAGCGUGGGUAGCAAACAGG